CGCAAUGGACGAAAGUCUGACGGAGCAACGCCGCGUGAGUGAUGAAGGUUUUCGGAUCGUAAAGCUCUGUUGUUAGGGAAGAACAAGUGCGAGAGUAACUGCUCGCACCUUGACGGUACCUAACCAGAAAGCCACGGCUAACUACGUGCCAGCAGCCGCGGUAAUACGUAGGUGGCAAGCGUUGUCCGGAAUUAUUGGGCGUAAAGGGCUCGCAGGCGGUUUCUUAAGUCUGAUGUGAAAGCCCCCGGCUCAACCGGGGAGGGUCAUUGGAAACUGGGAAACUUGAGUGCAGAAGAGGAGAGUGGAAUUCCACGUGUAGCGGUGAAAUGCGUAGAGAUGUGGAGGAACACCAGUGGCGAAGGCGACUCUCUGGUCUGUAACUGACGCUGAGGAGCGAAAGCGUGGGGAGCGAACAGGAUUAGAUACCCUGGUAGUCCACGCCGUAAACGAUGAGUGCUAAGUGUUAGGGGGUUUCCGCCCCUUAGUGCUGCAGCUAACGCAUUAAGCACUCCGCCUGGGGAGUACGGUCGCAAGACUGAAACUCAAAGGAAUUGACGGGGGCCCGCACAAGCGGUGGAGCAUGUGGUUUAAUUCGAAGCAACGCGAAGAACCUUACCAGGUCUUGACAUCCUCUGACAACCCUAGAGAUAGGGCUUUCCCUUCGGGGACAGAGUGACAGGUGGUGCAUGGUUGUCGUCAGCUCGUGUCGUGAGAUGUUGGGUUAAGUCCCGCAACGAGCGCAACCCUUGAUCUUAGUUGCCAGCAUUCAGUUGGGCACUCUAAGGUGACUGCCGGUGACAAACCGGAGGAAGGUGGGGAUGACGUCAAAUCAUCAUGCCCCUUAUGACCUGGGCUACACACGUGCUACAAUGGACAGAACAAAGGGCUGCAAGACCGCAAGGUUUAGCCAAUCCCAUAAAUCUGUUCUCAGUUCGGAUCGCAGUCUGCAACUCGACUGCGUGAAGCUGGAAUCGCUAGUAAUCGCGGAUCAGCAGC
RNAcentral lists this ribosomal RNA (996 nucleotides) under Bacillus pumilus. Its description in RNAcentral is "bacterial SSU rRNA". It matches the Rfam family "Bacterial small subunit ribosomal RNA", at positions 367 to 1356 of the family's 1533-position model. The record is from RNAcentral. Lineage: Bacteria; Bacillati; Bacillota; Bacilli; Caryophanales; Bacillaceae.